This 1458-nucleotide ribosomal RNA is filed under the name uncultured prokaryote. RNAcentral's name for it is "partial 16S ribosomal RNA". It matches the Rfam family "Bacterial small subunit ribosomal RNA". The record is from RNAcentral.
AUUGAAUGCAGGAUGCUUAACACAUGCUAGUGGAACGGUAACAUGGAAGCUUGCUUCUGAUGACGAGUGGCGGACGGGUGAGUAAUACAUAGGAAUCUGCCUAGUAGUGGGGGACAACUUGGGGAAACUCAAGCUAAUACCGCAUACGCCCUACGGGGGAAAGCGGGGGAUCUUCGGACCUCGCGCUAUUAGAUGAGCCUGUGCGAGAUUAGCUAGUUGGUGAGGUAAUGGCUCACCAAGGCUACGAUCUCUAGCUGGUCUGAGAGGACGAUCAGCCACACUGGGACUGAGACACGGCCCAGACUCCUACGGGAGGCAGCAGUGGGGAAUAUUGGACAAUGGGCGCAAGCCUGAUCCAGCAAUACCGCGUGUGUGAAGAAGGCCUUAGGGUUGUAAAGCACUUUCAGCAGUGAGGAAAACUUGAAGUUAAUAAUUUCAGGUCUUGACGUUAACUGCAGAAGAAGCACCGGCUAACUCCGUGCCAGCAGCCGCGGUAAUACGGGGGGUGCAAGCGUUAUUCGGAAUUAUUGGGCGUAAAGGGCGCGUAGGCGGUCUUGUCGGUCAGAUGUGAAAGCCCAGGGCUUAACCCUGGAACUGCAUUCAAAACUGUCAGGCUAGAGUAUGGUAGAGGAUAGUGGAAUUUCCGGUGUAGCGGUGAAAUGCGUAGAGAUUGGAAGGAACAUCAGUGGCGAAGGCGGCUAUCUGGACCAAUACUGACGCUGAGGUGCGAAAGCGUGGGGAGCAAACAGGAUUAGAUCCCCUGGUAGUCCACGCCGUAAACGAUGUCAACUAGCCGUUGGAGGGCUUGUCCCUUUCCAACGGCGCAGCUAACGCAAUAAGUAGACCGCCUGGGGAGUACGGCCGCAAGGUUAAAACUCAAAUGAAUUGACGGGGGCCCGCACAAGCGGUGGAGCAUGUGGUUUAAUUCGAUGCAACGCGAAGAACCUUACCUGGAAUUGACAUCCUACUAACUUACUAGAGAUAGUUUGGUGCCUUCGGGAACGUAGUGACAGGUGCUGCAUGGCUGUCGUCAGCUCGUGUUGUGAAAUGUUGGGUUAAGUCCCGUAACGAGCGCAACCCUUAUCCUUAUUUGCCAGCACGUAAUGGUGGGAACUCUAGGGAGACUGCCGGUGACAAACCGGAGGAAGGGGGACGCGACGUCAAGUCAGCAUGGCCCUGACGCCCAGGUUGACUCACGGGUUACAAGGUACGGUACAGAGGGUUGCCAAGCCGCGAGGUGGAGCUAAUCCCUUAAAACCGUUCGUAGUCCGGAUUGGAGUCUGCAACUCGACUCCAUGAAGUCGGAAUCGCUAGUAAUCGCGAAUCAGAAUGUCGCGGUGAAUACGUUCCCGGGCCUUGUACACACCGCCCGUCACACCAUGGGAGUGGGUUGCAAAAGAAGUGGGUAGACUAACCUUCGGGAGGUCGCUCACCACUUUGUGAUUCAUGACUGGGGUG